GUAAAAGUGUAUAAAUAAUAAAAUGUAUGAUGGGCCAAAAUAAACUGAGUCUUUAGGCCCGUUAGCUAACUGCAUUUGAGACCUGAGUUUGAGCAUUUGAGGGAUCGAGGCCUGUUAGCUUUGCCGUGGUUUUCUAGAAGCCGCCGCUCAGUUUGCCGUGGUUUUCUAGCCUCUAGGAGAAGCCGCCGCCGCCCCCAACUGCAGGCUGCAGGCGCUGCUCCUUUCGCCCUCCGCUAGCGAGCGAAUCGCUGGCUCGAGGCGGCACUCCGGCUGGCGGGCGUCGGGCCGUCGGCUGCUGUCCACGGCUGUCGACAAGCAAGCACCGUCCAGCGUCCACCUCGGCACCUCCUGUUCGGCUGUUCCUAGCCGCUGGCUGAGAAGCUAAUUAGCCAAGACCCAAGAAGCGAGCAGGCAAGCAGCCACGAAGACGAAGGUAAGCACUUAGGCACUUAGCAGUUAGCACUAAACAGACAAGCGUAUAAGUAGAUUUGCAAUCUUGUAUGACUAAUAAAUAGAUUAGAUAAAUUUAUAAGUAGCUGAUAUGUUGAUGAUUAUUACUCCUCUUUGUUUAGAUAAAUGAGGAGAUUUUUUCAACCACUUUCAAGGGGGUCCGCAAUUGGUGGUCAGGAUAAUAAUAAUGCCAAUAAUGUCAAUAAUUAAUGGUUUGCUACACUGAGAAAGAGAUCUUCAAAUCCGUUGAUGAUGAGGUUAUUAUUCGACGAUUUCAACGUCUCAAAACUAGAAGGAUGCAAUUGCCUCGGUCAACAAGAACUUAACGGCAUGUUUGCUUUUUUUAUAUGGUUUUUUCUUUAAAUUUUGUAUCAUGUAUUGAUAUAAAACUUGAAUUUUAUGCGACAAUAGUUGUUUACGGUAUGGCUUGAUUUUAUCAUGUGAUUUUUUGGCCCACCCUGAAUUUUUGUCCUGCGUCCGCCACUGACCGUGUAUGGUUCGAGGAUGAGGCCUAUCUUCUCAUUCCUAAAAAAAAUUAUUUGUAGAAUGAAAUAAAUUGAUUCAUCACUAUUUCAUUCAUCACAUGCUAAUAAUUAAAAAUAAUAUGAAGAAUGAGUUCAUUCUACCAAACUUAGGGGGUAUGAUAUUUGGUUUAAUAAAUCACUCUAACAAAGUUAAUGUGGUACAUCAUGAGUUCAUUCCUCAAAUUUGGUGAGAUAACCACAUUCCUCGUAUUAUUACUAACUAGUAACUAUGAGAAAUGAGGUGGUGAUGCUUUAACUCAUUCCAUUCCAUAAAUUAAAUAAAAAGUGAGAAGUGAAAAGAUAGUGAACUAGCUUAUUUUUUAAAACCAAACAUCCUAUUAUAUAAUGGAUUUAUGAUGCAUCAUAUCACCAAACACCUCACUCGUAUACAAUAAUGAGAGUGGUGGACGUCUAAUAAGUCCCAACGAAGGUCUAGAUUUGGGCUUCUGGAUUUCCCAAGAUUUCUGGCCAUCAUCAUCAGAAAUAAAAGACCGCGACUUACGACGACGUUGCAACAAUAUCAGAGACCGAGCAAUUUCGGUCUCGAACACUCUGGUCGAGUCCUCCAUCCAGACUUGAACCAACCGACUAGUUUCAACUUUGAAGACAUACAUGCAUGUUCACGGUAUUUUUUUUUGGCGUCGUUUUCUUCUGUUUCAAAGCACGCGUUUGACUU
This 1650-nucleotide long non-coding RNA is filed under the name Zea mays. RNAcentral describes it as "long non-coding RNA (ZMAY_LNC001187)". The record is from RNAcentral. Lineage: Eukaryota; Viridiplantae; Streptophyta; Magnoliopsida; Poales; Poaceae.